GACGAACGCUGGCGGCGUGCUUAACACAUGCAAGUCGAACGGAAAGGCCCUGCUUGCAGGGUACUCGAGUGGCGAACGGGUGAGUAACACGUGGGUGAUCUGCCCUGCACUUCGGGAUAAGCCUGGGAGACUGGGUCUAAUACCGGAUAGGAGCCAUUUUUAGUGUGAUGGUUGGAAAGUUUUUUCGGUGUAGGAUGAGCUCGCGGCCUAUCAGCUUGUUGGUGGGGUAAUGGCCUACCAAGGCGGCGACGGGUAGCCGGCCUGAGAGGGUGGACGGCCACAUUGGGACUGAGAUACGGCCCAGACUCCUACGGGAGGCAGCAGUGGGGAAUAUUGCACAAUGGGCGCAAGCCUGAUGCAGCGACGCCGCGUGGGGGAUGACGGCCUUCGGGUUGUAAACUCCUUUCGCUAGGGACGAAGCUUUUGUGACGGUACCUAGAGAAGAAGCACCGGCUAACUACGUG
RNAcentral lists this ribosomal RNA (464 nucleotides) under uncultured bacterium. Its description in RNAcentral is "partial 16S ribosomal RNA". It matches the Rfam family "Bacterial small subunit ribosomal RNA", at positions 28 to 507 of the family's 1533-position model. The record is from RNAcentral.